AUGAAAGUGGCUUCAUAGGAUGAUCCUUUUGUGAAUUAAGUUUGUUGGUAGAGCUCUAAUUCUUGUAGGAUUUACCUGUCAUCAGCUGGCCCAUUAUUAAACACAAUUUUGCCUGCCUACAUUAAAUUCUAAGUUAUAUUAAACAUUAUUCAUUGAGACUAAGUACUUUUUUCAUAAAAGAAAACUUAAUACUUGAGAGUACCUUUUAAUAUUGGGAACCUUUCCCCAUCCCCUAAUGCUCUGACAGCAUCUUCUCUAUUGCAGGUACGCUAACAAUAAGCCCAAUUGAAAUGUCAGCACUUAGCAGCAGCUCAACAAGGGCUCUUGCAGAAUCGUUCCUGAUCCUGAUUCAGCAGUCAUGUAGCUUUUCCUGCCUGUAUGGAACAUGGCUGGCUAAGAUGGCGGCAAGAGAGAACAGCGGAAGAUGGGGGGACAGAACCUCUACAGAUGGACAAACCAACAAGGAUGAAGUAAGGACUAAACAUGGAACUGCUGCCAGCUUUUGGAAUGAAGCUUGUGCCAAACUCUGUGUUGUUGCUGAUUUUCACAUGAUGGAUGUGGAAACGCCUGGUUUUGUCAGAGCUGGCUUUGCUGAAGAUGCCUUGCAGGACUGCAGAAGGGGAAACCCAGCUCUCCUCCAGCUCAACUCUGUUGCAUCUGGUACAGCUGAAACCAUACCAAAGGAAGGACAUGUCCAAAGCCCUCUCUUGGGAGGAGGCUGAUGAGUGUCAUGAAAUGGCUGCUGGCAGACCUCUUUGCUUGUGAACACUGUGGCUCUGGACAGAUGGAUAUCACAUCUUGACUGCUUCUGGGAUGUUCCAAAGUCUUCAGUUCAGAAGCCCCCUGAGCCCAGGGCUGCGUGCUACACCGAAAUGUUCAAUCCUGCAUUUGAAUAAGCUGAAUCAAGCCAGCCAUACUGCUAAACAUAUGCAUGGAGGCUUCUUACAUAAACGAACGUUGCCCUGAAGCACUUGUAGUGCAGUUGUUACUGCCUUGUGUUAAUGGAGAAGGACCCCAAAGAGAAUGGAGUGUAAGGUAUCUUGGAGGCUAGAUGAGAG
RNAcentral lists this long non-coding RNA (1058 nucleotides) under Gallus gallus (chicken). The record is from RNAcentral. Lineage: Eukaryota; Metazoa; Chordata; Aves; Galliformes; Phasianidae.